Molecule: long non-coding RNA, 2093 nt
Organism: Gasterosteus aculeatus aculeatus (three-spined stickleback)
Lineage: Eukaryota; Metazoa; Chordata; Actinopteri; Perciformes; Gasterosteidae
Source: Ensembl
GACAGAUACAGUUGAGUAUCGUCUGCAUAACAAAGGAAGUUUAUGCGGUGUUUCCUGAUAAGAUCGCCCAAAGGAAGCAUAUAGAGGGUAAAUAAAAUCGGUCCAAGUACAGAACCUUGUGGGACUCCGUGACCAACAUUGGUGGUCUUUGAGGAUUCACCGUUUACAAGCACAAACUGGGAUCGAUCCGAUAAGUAGGAUUUAAACCAGCUGAGUGCAGUUCCUUUGAUACCAAUUAAAUGUUCUAGUCUCUGCAACAGGAUACAAUGGUCUAUGGUAUCAAAUGCGGCACUGAGGUCCAGCAAGACAAGAAAAGAGAUGAGUCCUUGGUCCGAUGCAAGUAGAAGAUCAUUCGUAAUUUUCACCAGUGCAGUGCUCGCUUAGGACCACAGCACUGCUGGUGCCUUACACACCAACGGAGUCUUGCUGGGCUUUUCAUACGCGGAUGGUCGCUGUGUUUUUGGCAUGUUCACAUGCUAACAUCAACACGUAGUAAAACAAUAUUGACAUAACUCAAGGGCUCCAUGGUAAACAGGUAGAUGAAUCAUAUUGUUGAUAUUGUAUCCCACACUGGUCUGAACUGAACCGUACAGUAUUUCCAGGUAGCGAUGAGCUCCCAGAAGCGUUAAGAUGGGACUCUAAAGAUGAGGACAAAGAACACACAGCGUGUUUGAGUACACGUUUUGUAUAACCUUAAAGUUGAGUCGUACAUUUAGGCAUCAAUAAUAAGGGAUUUAAUAUAAUGAAUGUUGAAAUGUGACCUAUAGUUCUUCCCCCUUACUGUGAGAUUUACAGUUGCAUGGCUUUACAAUGAAACCGCUUAUCGGGAAGAGUUGUGAAUAAUUGAAUUGAAUUCAUUUUAUUUUGUAUAGCCCAUAAUCGCAAAUUACAAAUUUGCCUCAGAGGGCUUUACAGUCUGUACACAUAUGACAUCCUCUGUCCCGAAACCCACCAUCGGCACAGGAAAAACUCCCCAAAAAAUGAAUAAAACCCUUCCAAGAGGGAAAAAAGGGAAGAAACUUUAGUGAGAACGUCAGAGGAGGAUCCCACUCCCGGGAUGGACAGACUACAAUGAUGCCAUGUGAACAGAAUGAACAAUGAAUAAUACAUGCAAUUAUAUGACAGAAAUGAUUCAAGUAAUUGUGAGUAGUAAGCCAGGCGCACAGCAGGACCACUGCAGGGGCAACCACCAUCACAUAGAACCAUCAGAUAGAACCACCAUCAGAUAGAACCACCAUCAAAUAGAACAUCAGACAGAACCACCAUCAGACAGAACCACCAUCAGACAGAACCACCAUCAGACAGAACCACCAUCAGACAGAACCACCAUCAGAUAGAACCACCAUCAGAUAGAACCACCAUCUGACAGAACCACCAUCCACAGAAGCCUGUGGGGAGGGAGAGCACAAAGAGGAGAGGGUAAUGUUGGUUUAUGAUUACAGUAAUAUGAUUAAUAUUUAAAAUGAUAAUGAUGAGGAUGGCAGCAGCAGAUGUCAGCAAGGCCACGGCAUGAUGUUCAUUUACUAAAUGAUGGUUCACUUAAAGUCAAACAAACCAUUAAGCAGGGGAUGCUUUAGGCCGGGGCUACCUUGUGACUGACAGAUCUACCUGUCUAACUAAACCAAUGGGUGAUGACGAUGGGUGAUCUCCUGUCAUUGGAGCCACACAGACCUGGCAUGAAGCAAUCUCCAUUUUCAGUACACCAUUGGCAGCUGGCCAAUAGAGGGUAAUGGGGCGGCGCCCCUCCUUGAAAAGAAAAAAGAAAUAAUAUUAAAUUAUUAAAAAAAAAAAUUGAAAUAUGGAAUGUACCCAGUAAUAUUAAAUAAAUGUUUGAUGAUAUGAUAUCUACGCAAAAGAUUUCCCUGCACGUCCCUGCCUAUUGUGUUUUAGCUGAGUGUUUUAGCUGAGCUAGGGGCGGGUCUAAGAAGCAUUUCAGCCAAUUGCUGACUAAAUAAAAAAAAUUAAGACAUAAGAUUUAGCCAAUCAGCAUCCUUACAUAAACUCAGCCUGGGACUUUGGUUUUGCUUUUUGCCGCAGAUAUUUAAAAACACAGGAUCGAAGUGUGCACGUGCAACAUGGCUUUUUUACAUCUU